Molecule: ribosomal RNA, 465 nt
Filed under: uncultured bacterium
Lineage: Bacteria
Description: partial 16S ribosomal RNA
Rfam family: Bacterial small subunit ribosomal RNA
Source: RNAcentral
GACGAACGCUGGCGGCGUGCUUAACGCAUGCAAGUCGAACGGAAAGGCCCUGCUUGCAGGGUACUCGAGUGGCGAACGGGUGAGUAACACGUGGGUGAUCUGCCCUGCACUUCGGGAUAAGCCUGGGAAACUGGGUCUAAUACCGGAUAGGAGCCAUUUUUAGUGUGAUGGUUGGAAAGUUUUUUCGGUGUAGGAUGAGCUCGCGGCCUAUCAGCUUGUUGGUGGGGUAAUGGCCUACCAAGGCGGCGACGGGUAGCCGGCCUGGGAGGGUGGACGGCCACAUUGGGGCUGAGAUACGGCCCAGACUCCUACGGGAGGCAGCAGUGGGGAAUAUUGCACAAUGGGGGCAAGCCUGAUGCAGCGACGCCGCGUGGGGGAUGACGGCCUUCGGGUUGUAAACUCCUUUCGCUAGGGACGAAGCUUUUUGUGACGGUACCUAGAUAAGAAGCACCGGCUAACUACGUG